Myxocyprinus asiaticus (Chinese sucker) is the source of this 878-nucleotide long non-coding RNA. RefSeq lists it as uncharacterized. The transcript is spliced from 4 exons. The record is from RefSeq and is a predicted model, not a curated record. NCBI's taxonomy places the organism in Eukaryota, Metazoa, Chordata, Actinopteri, Cypriniformes, Catostomidae.
GAGCGCGCAAUAUUUUGAGCAAAGAAAGCCUGGCGACUCGACAACAUGCUUCUUCCGGGCUGACAGCGAACACCAUCAUUAAAACUAAUCACCAGCUAUGUACUGAUUUUAAACGCAUCACCAGUGUGGACUUCCUCGAGACAUUCAGAGCAUGAGUCAAUACAGAGCAAGAAAAGGGGCUUUUGUACAAGAGAUGGGAGAUCUUAACAAGCUCGAUCAGCAGACCUCAAAUGUCAUAAAAUAGAAAACAGUCCUUGAAGAUCUCCUCUUGUUCCUCUGCAAAGAUUGUGAAACAUUUCUGGACACUUCUCCAGAUGACAGACAGACCAGAGGGAUGAAAGUCGGCAGUCUUUUCAUGAUUGAAGAUUAAAUCUCCACAUCUAGCACGUUGCCGAAUGUCACAAACUUUGCUGUUGUUUUGGAGGAGGCUAUUGUUUUGUAAGAUGCUCCAGACCUGCAAUCUGCAGUUGCUUACCUGUUUGGCCUUCUCUUUGCCUCAGAUAUUGUGGAGUACCCAAAAAGUCUUCAUGGACAUCCGCAUUCACUGUUCUGCAAGGGUGCAGUCCCUUAAAACAAACUUGUUGCUCUGACAUAAAGUUGCAUUUGUGAGCUAUUUUAUAUGUGCAGAUGCACUUCAUCGUUCACCCUGCCAGACUUUGAACAAAACAUAAAAACACACACACACAUUUUUCAAAUGAAUUUGUUUUUGAUUGAUUGUGGUAUUUGACAUGUGUUCAAAUUUCACAUGUGAAAAGACAGAGUGGUCGCUGCUGUUGGGUUUCAAAUAAAACUUUGAACAAAAUCUUAAGCCUGCAAUUUUAGUUUUAUUUGAUUGCCUUAUUUAAUAUUAACUAGAAUAAAACACCUCUUUUAGUAAA